CUGCAAUUUGAGUGCCCCCCUCAAAAAAAAAAGAGGAAGGGAGGGAGAAAUGAAAGGAGGAGAAAGAAGCUGAGCAUUCUUUGCUCUGACCGAGGAUAAAAUGAGGAGUGUUAGGCUGAAUUCCCAUCCUCCUGGAUAAGAAAGAAAUCAC
Molecule: long non-coding RNA, 151 nt
Filed under: Microcebus murinus (gray mouse lemur)
Lineage: Eukaryota; Metazoa; Chordata; Mammalia; Primates; Cheirogaleidae
Description: NPPA antisense RNA 1 conserved region 2 (ENSMICG00000036299.2)
Rfam family: NPPA antisense RNA 1 conserved region 2
Source: RNAcentral